Molecule: non-coding RNA, 590 nt
Organism: Taeniopygia guttata (zebra finch)
Lineage: Eukaryota; Metazoa; Chordata; Aves; Passeriformes; Estrildidae
Source: RefSeq, a predicted model, not a curated record
CGGUGGGUGGGCAGUGAGGCAGGUACAAGGUUUGCUCGCACAAGCAGCCUUUCCAGAGGGGAUGCACAGCUAAUUCCCGCGGGUUUCCACCACCAGCAGUUACACCCUUUGGUUUUUAUUUCCUUGGAGUCCUGGCCAGGCUGGGUCUGGCUCAAGACCACCACUCCAGUACUGCUGGUGGCGAUGGCAGGAUGCAAAUCCGAGCCGGCACACGGACCCCGCACACGCAUCCCGGUGCCAAAAAGAUUGGGCACGUUCCGAUCCAGGGGGGGAUGCGCCAGCGGAGCCGGACCCCGCCUGCUCCAGGGCCACAAGGCGAGCCGCCAGCGCUGCCUGGGGUGAAUUCCGACAUCUCCAGCAACCCCAGGGAGGAAAAAAAAAAAACCCCAAAAUCCGCGGAGCGGAGCGCUGAGGGCCUCCCGAUGGAUGGGAUGCGCUGUGCAUCCCAUCCAUCGGGAUGCACAUCCAUGCAGGGAGGGGAGCGAGGCAGCGCCGCUGGAGCGGGACCCAGCCCGGAGCGCUGCCCCGCAGCCCGGGGCGAAGCGACAGCGCGGCCUUUCCGACAAUAAAUCAAUAAAAAUCCAAAAAAA